This 252-nucleotide ribosomal RNA is filed under the name uncultured bacterium. RNAcentral describes it as "partial 16S ribosomal RNA". It matches the Rfam family "Bacterial small subunit ribosomal RNA", at positions 524 to 776 of the family's 1533-position model. The record is from RNAcentral.
UACGUAGGUGGCGAGCGUUAUCCGGAAUGAUUGGGCGUAAAGGGUGCGUAGGUGGUUUAUUAAGUCUGGUGUAAAAGGCAGUGGCUCAACCAUUGUAUGCAUUGGAAACUGGUAGACUUGAGUGCAGGAGAGGAGAGUGGAAUUCCAUGUGUAGCGGUGAAAUGCGUAGAUAUAUGGAGGAACACCGGUGGCGAAAGCGGCUCUCUGGCCUGUAACUGACACUGAGGCUCGAAAGCGUGGGGAGCAAACAGG